RNAcentral lists this long non-coding RNA (10159 nucleotides) under Homo sapiens (human). RNAcentral describes it as "non-protein coding lnc-TTC23-3:6". Lineage: Eukaryota; Metazoa; Chordata; Mammalia; Primates; Hominidae. The record is from RNAcentral.
AUUGUGCCUGCCUCACCUCCCCACUCUCCCCGGCUAAUUACCAGGUUUGCCCUUCACAGUUUCUGCGGUAAUGCUAAGGCCCGCGCCCCUCAGCUGCCAGCGCUGCGUGUUUUAGUAGCUGCAGGGAGGAAGAAUCGAGAUGGCUUCAGCAAAGCCCUCCACUUUGCUUGGGAGAAGGGGGCGUUUGUGGGCAGGGCAUUGCAUGGGAAACUGCAAUGUGCACUUGUUUGACCUGGAUCCCUGGUUCAAAUGCAUCCCCUGGUCCCUGCAGGUCCGGGGUGGGGCUGGAGCUUUUGUGUGUCUCAUCAGCUCCCAGAAACAUUUAUCGAGUGCCUAUGGCAUGUCAGGCACAGUUCAAGUUCUGAGGAUACAGAGUAAACAACAGGCAACAUCACGCCUCCUCGAGCUUCUGUUCUACUGGGAGUCAGGGUAGGAAGAGACGACAACAAGGUUCAGACCUGCAUCCUGGCUCGAGGCUGUCUCCCCAUCUGCCACAGGUGCUUCCCCCAACGGAUCUCUUGCCCCUCUCCUCCUGGCUUGGGGUCUGCUCACUGGAGGACCUGGAUGGACAUGACAGGGCUCAGACAGGACUUGGGAGGAGCUGUGAGCUCGCCAUCAGGGCCAGCCUUGAAGGACGGGUGUGGGCGUGUCCCCCAUCAGGAUCCCGCUGUGGGUCUCCUUCCUGCUGUGGGGGCUGAUGAAAGAUGCAGGCCAGACACCUGCACAUCUUUACCCUGUGCUCAGCAGCACCCCCUGACAGGGCACCCUCCCCACUACAUCCCCAUUCCAUUCCAAAGGAAGAGACCCUGAGGGUCUGGAAUGAAGAACCCCUUACCCCAGGUCAAACUGAUGUUGCUGGAAUCUUUGGUUGGGUCUCGACAUUACCCCAUAUGGGCAACAGAGAAGGACUGCCGAGAGCUGGGCAAGGCCCCAUGCCUGCUCCUCCUGCUUGUGCUCUCUAGAUCAGAGACCCUCCCAACCUCUCCCGUAGGGGCCUGACUCCUCCCUGGUAUGUCACCUUUGCUUGAUCUAGGCCUCUGGAGGGGCGGCAGCCUGUCUCCCCGCACCAGCUGGGGUUCUGGCCCUGGUGGUUGCUCACCACACCUCCGGGGGCUGCCACGCGGGGUCAUGUUGGUACCAAGGUUCUCUGUGGGGUGCAGGGAUGACCACUGGAGAAAAGGCCAGCCCUGCCUUCCGCUGCUGCCUCAGGCUGGUCCCCGUGCCUCGCUCAGGCGGGCCAGUGACCCUCCUCACCAGCCAUGGCUUCUCUUGUGACAGGCCCAACGGCAGGCCAGGUCCUGAACCCCGCAGGGAGGCCGGCCUAUCAGGUCUUCACAUGGCUGGGGGCACAGCCAGCCACCAGCAUCCUUGUGCUGUCCCCAUGGGGAAGAGAAGGGAACGAUGUGUUCAUAGACGCCAGGGCAAGUGGGCACGGGCAGCGCACGGAGGAAAAAGUGACUCCAAUCAGAAGGGGAGUGGGUCUUGGCAAUACACGUCUGGGUGGUCAGUCCCCAGAGGUGGGCACUGGGCUGAGCUCUCUCUCAUCCGACGCCACCCCUGGGUGACCUCCGUUACAUUUCCUAACCUCUUUGUGUGCCAAUCGCCUCGUCUGGAAAAAUGGGAAUGGAGGAGAGUUGUACCUACCCAGGGUGGUUCUGUGGGCAUUUAAAGAGCAACUUCAUGUGAGACGUGGAGUCCAUGUGUGGCCCAUGGUGGGCUCCAGGAAAUGUUGGUGAUGACAGGGAUGAGGGAGCAACUGAGAGCCGGCAGUGAGGUGACACACCCAAGGUCACGCCACCAGCAGAGGUAGCUGGUCACGCUGCUGAGAGCCGGCAGGAAAUAGAUGCGGACAAAGCAGGGUCGGUUUUCAGCUUCUCUCCACGGAAAGGCCGGCUGAAGUUUCCCUCACCACGCAGAAAUCGAUAAGCAGGAGGUUUUUAAAAACCACCUCCCCAUUGAACCUGCCACUGCCGGAGCUGAAGGCUGUGCGUUUUGUGGUCCGCUCUGCCCCAGGGCCACUUAGGGUGCGUCCACGCUGGGUGUGCCAGGCAUGCACGUGGGCUGCAGACGCCCAGGAGGCAGAGCCGAGCCUGCCAAGGUUAUGCGUGCACCUCUCAGCUCCCUGCUUAACACUGCGUUCCCGGGAGAGAGAUUUCUCCCUGGCUGCUUCACAUCCAGAGGAGAACAUCAGCUCUCAGCAGAACAUAAGGCAAGUGUGAAAACAACUUUUUAUCUUUUAAAAUUUUUGUUUAUAUUUAUGUAUUUAUUUUUUGAAAUGGAGUUUCGCUCCUGCUGCCCAGGCGGGAGUGCAAUGGCGCCAUCUCAGCUCACCACAACCUCUGCCUCUCAGGUUCAAGCAAUUCUCCUGCCUCAGCCUCCCGAGUAGCUGGGAUUACAGGCAUGCACCACCACACCCGGCUACUUUUGUAGCUUUAGUAGAGACAGGGUUUCUCCAUGUUGAGGCUGGUCUCGAACUCCUGGCCUCAGGUGAUCCGCCCGCCUCAGCCUCCCAAAGUGCUGGGAUUACAGGUGUGAGCCACUGCACCCGGUGAAAACAGCUUUUUAUGCCAACUGGGGCUCACUUCCAGGGGAGGCCUUUCCUGGAGGCCCCCAUUCACUGCAAUUCCUCAGCCUGGCUUGGAGUCAUACCAUCCCUCCUAUCAAGAAACAUUGCAUCUGCAGCGAUCCCCCAGAUAAGCAUCCGUCGUGGUUGGCAGGAGACUGAUCGUGGUCAUCUAUCCAGGACUGGGUUGACAGGAAGCCACCAUCUUAGACUGUCAGCUUCCAUUUCAGAGGGAAGGAGCCCUGUGGACGUUCUCACACCAGCAUUCAGAAGCUCUUGCUGGGAAGUGUCACAAGUCACCUGUGCUCCCUGGCUAGGAGUAGUCCGUUGGCCACCCAAACACCUGGGGGCUGGCCAGGAAGGCAGUCACACAGGGGCCCACCAUGGGUCUGCCCAGUUCUCAGGCACCAGACCACACCCAAGCAGGACCCCUCCUCCCCUGCUUCCCCCUCCUGUCCCCACCAAAGCCACAUGGCAGGCAGAUCACAUGUCACAGAGCUCAGGGCCAGGCCUGCCCAGAUCCUGAGGCUGGGCCACCCCUGAGAGCUUCCUAUGUGAGAUGUCCACUUUUUUACAUUUAAAUUUUACUUUUAAAAUUCUAAAUUGAUAAAUUACAGUUGUAUGUAUUUAUGGGUACAAAGUGAUGUGAUGACUGAUGAAUACAACGUAGAAAAUUAAAUCAAGUAAUUAACAUAUCCAUCCCCUCACAUACUCAUCACUUGUUGUGGUAAGGACAUUUGAAAUUUACUCUCCUGGUGAUUUUGGAAUGUACAAUACAUUAUUACUUACAUAUUUACCACACUGUGCAAUGUAUCUCAAAGAAAAGAAAACUUAUGGUGCACACCUGUAAUCCCAGCCUUACAGGAGGACAAGCGCAGGAGGAUCCUUUGAGCCCAGGAGAUUGAGACCAGCCCGCGCAACACAGCGAGACCCCAUUUCCUAAAAACAAAAACAAAACAUAUAUUGCUCCUGCCUAACUGAGACCCUGUGCCCUUUGACUGUCAUCUCCUCACUCCCCUCACCAGCUCUCCCACAGCCUCUGGCACCAUUCUGCUCUCUGCCUCUUUAAGUUUGAUUGUUUUCCAUCCCACAUACAAGUGAGAACCUGCGGUAUUUGUCUUUCUGUGCCUGGCUUAUUUCACUCAGCAUAAUGUCCUCCAAUUCCAUCUAUCUUGUCACAAAUGACAGAACUUCUUUCUUUUUUACAGCUGAAUAGUAUACCACUGUGUGUAUACACCAUACUUUAUCCAUUCAACCGUUGUUGGAUGAUUAGGUUGAUUCCGUAACUUUCGAAUAGUGCUGCAGUGAGCAUGGGCAUGCAGACCACAUGUCUGCUUUUGAUCUUUUGAACAAGGACUCAGACCCCAGUGACUCACACAUUUUCUUAUUAAAAAAAAAGUAUACGUAUAAAUUAUAUAUGUGUACAUAUAUGAUAUAUACAUAUGUUAUGUGACCAUAUCUAUACACACAUGUAUAUACACACAUACAGCAAGGGUCUCCAAAGACUUCAAACUAUAUGUAUGUAUAUAUAUAGAUAGAUGUGCACACCACUGCACCCGGCCAACUUUUGUGGUUUUUUUUUAGUACAGAGGGGGUUUCGCCAUGUUGGCCAGGCUGGCCUCGAACUCCUGACCUCAGGUGAUCUGCCCACCUCGGCCUCCCAAAGUGCUGGGAUUACAGGCAUGCACCACCACGCGCAGCCUAACUAUCUAUCUAUAUAUAUAUAUACGUAUAGAUAGAUGGACAGAUGUUCCUUGCAGCUUUCCUUUGGAGAUGGCUUACAGCUCUGGAGAGAACCCGGGGUCCCAGCACCUUUGCCAUUAUAACCCAUGAGACCUAAGGGUCAGCGAAGGGGCAAAGAGGUCCUGGAAACCAUCUUGCAUCAGUAUAGUCCCUCAUCAGAGGAAUAAAGUGGAGCCUCAGGAGGUAAAGGACGGCUGGUGUCACCAGCUAGAUCAGGGAUGUGUUGACUCCCAUUCCAUCGGAGGGAUCUGGGACCCUGCAAGUGACGCUGAGGCGUGGUCCUGCAGCAUUCCCGGGUCCCCCUGGAUUGCUGCACCGUGUCUCAGCCUGAACUGGACCACCUCUGCUCACACUGCAUGCAUGUUACUGCCUGUGACCGGAAGCACUCUAGUCGGGUUGCCCAUCCCCUCACAUACUCAUCAGCUUUAUUUCUUGCCACUUGCAAGAAAGUGAGAGCCCGAAGAGUAAUGCCCAGGCAGUAAGAGAGGCGAAGCAUCUGAUAGAGCCUUCUUCCCACUUUUAUCUAAUCCGAUCCAUUUUCAGUAGCUUUUCUGCAUAAGAGAGCCUCUUCACAUGGACAUCCAUGCAUCCACCCACGCGUCCACCCACGCGUCCACCCACGCGUCCACCCACGCGUCUACCCAUGCGUCCACCCAGUCGUUCAAAACACAUUUUCCUUUCCUUCUAGUUUACUGAGCACCUACUCUAUGUCAGGUGCUAUAUUCACCAGCUUACAGUAGAAUGAUGACCAAGUGAAGAUGUUGGCCCUAAGGAAAAUAAGUGGCUGCUCUUUGAUUCUUCCAGGGAGCAGAUUUUGAUUAGAGAAAGGAGUCCAAAUAGUACAAGGCAGGAAAGACGGGAGGGGCACAGAACAGUGAGGUUGAGGCUGCAGAGAGUGGGGAGGUGGUUGCUAAAAGACUCUUCACUUACAAUUCACGCAGCAAAACUGACCACCUGCCAAACUCCAUCCGGGGAGAGGUCUGGGUGCAGAGACCCCCAAAUAGCCUAGGCAGACAGGUGUGGGGCCACCCUCAGUGCAAGGCGAGGGCUUGUGGGGUCCUUCCAGAGGUUGCUGAAGGUGAUGAGCUGCCAUGAAAGAUGGUAACGUCUUUCCCGUAGGCACAAGAGGAGAAAACAGUGCGUGGUGCAUAGAGACCUUUGCAGUGCAGAAGGGGUUAUUAUUAUUACAAGCCAGAUGUGCCCCACUUGUUACUGAAUCAUCGGGUUGACUCUAAGUUUUAAAAUCCAAUUUCCAGGCCCUCUUCACCUGCCAGCUGGGCAACAGCAGUUACUCUCAUUGGAGACCCUUUCCCUUCGCCACUUCCCAGGCUACUCCAGACUGAAUGCAUUCAGGGAGUCACCUCCCAGGUCAAAACCUGCUGUGAUACCAUCACCCUGCAGCACAGACCACAGUCCCAAGCCUCCCAUUCUUGACUCUAACACCAGCCCAGCCUGACCUGCUGCAGGGUGUGGCCUGUGACCACAUCUGUGCUCCGUCCACGCUGCUUCGUCCAGCCUCCCACGCCGAUCCCCAGAGUAGCUCCCCGGGAUGCUCUCUCCUCAUCACUGCAUCUGCCGCCCGCCCAGGCCCUCUGACUUUACCCUCCCGCAGGCCCCUCCCGUCUGAGGUGCUCUGGAAUGCCUGUGGUGUGAUUGUGCAUGAACUUUUACGUGCCUGCGUCCAUGCUCGAGAGCGGUCUUGCCUGAACCACCUUGUCUCAAUAAUCAGCAUGAAACUCCUCAAAAGAAACAGAGAGGCCCCUCAGAACAUCACGGAAAAGACGAUGGCUCCAAAACAGCUAGAUUCUAAUCCCAGCUCUGCUGCGGGGCGCGGCCUCGGGCACACCUGUGCUCCGUGCAUGUGACGUGACUCUCAAAAGCAUCCAUUUCCUCAUCUGGAAAACGGGACAGUUCCUGGACUCUGCGCACCUGGAAGUGACCAUGAGGGUCAAAUGUUUCUCAAACUGCAAAUGCUUUUCAGAUGCUGGCGCCGUGACCAAAGACCUGGCUCUUACAUCUGCUCUGUUUUCAUGGGACACAGCCCUGGGUAUACAGUAGGUGCUUAAUGCAGGUGACCGUGAGGAAGGGCUGUGGCCCGUGGAGGGCAGGCAGGUGGGAUUCAGCUGAGGUCCUCAAAGGCUGCACUAUGGGAAAGGCUGAGCGGCAGGAAAGGGACAGACAGGCCCUCCUCCUGGGGCCCAGGGCUGGGAACCAGAGCCCCUCCUUUGGCCACUCUGAGGUGGAAGAACAAGGAGCACAUAGGAGGAGUGGCCCAGGCUCUCCACCUGAGGACAUUCGGAGGACCUAGAAGCACUGGCAGAGCCUGAACGUGGCACCGUAGCCUCCUGCUGGCUGGAGAUGUGUCUGGGCGGUGUGUCUUGGCAUGGAAUCCACAGCCAGCUAGCCUGAGGCGGGGAUGGGGCCAGGACCCCCGGCUGUACAGACGGAGAGCCAGAGGCGGUUGCAGGUUCCCAACCGACAGCGGAGCUGAUGAGUGGCGGGGCUUUCAUUUGUUGACAGGAGAUGCAUGUCUGAGGCCAGAGCCAACUUCUUCCAGGGAGCGGCUUCCUUCCUCCUCAAAGGACACAGGGGACACAGAUGUCCAGGAGGCUGUUUAGAGAGGGCCCGAGUGGUGAGCUGUGCAGGGGUCCUCACGCCCCGGCCCCGUCUUGGAUAUGGGGCUGGAGACUUAGGAAGUGAGUGCUGGGUCCUGGGGUUCCCUCAUCCGCCUUCAGGAAGAUGUGAAGGGGCUUCCUGCGGCCUUUGGCAGCAUUCAUCCCAAACCCCAAAGCCUCCUUCCCCUGGCUCCGUGGCAGGAGCAGUUGCAUUCUCCUGUCUGAGAGGGGCCACCUCCUUCCCACCUUGCCCUCUAAGUUGGCUCAGGCUGCGCAGGGCUCAGGCUGAGGUCCAGACCCUCAUGCCAGCUUGGUGCUUGGCCAGAGCUGCAAAAUUGGAGCUGGGCUGCCAGGGGGAGGGCACCGCUGAGGCCUUCUAGGCCCAGACGGGCUGAGAGAGCCCCCGCCCCCCACCCCAGCCUCACCCUCCACCCGAGGCCCCUGUCAUGGGUGUGGGUGACUCAGAGGAAGUUCUGGUUUCUGUCAGAUUUUGAGGCUGAGGCAACCUGAUCCUGAAACAAUGACAAGCCUCAGAACGGUCCUUCCCACUCCCUCAGAGGAGCGUUUCAGGCCUGGCCAAUAACACAGCAGAACGGAAAAUGACUUUGGGAAGGAAAGGUCAGGCGGCUAGGCCUCCCAUGGAAGGCAGCAGGCGGUUGCUCAGGUCAGAGGGCCAAGUGGCGCGGUCUGUGGGCACCGGCAGCUGGCAGUGACCCUGCAGAUCAACCUGGGCCCGGGCUGCAGACACCAAGCAGGGGCACCUGCCUGGCCUGGCUGCCUCAUGUGGCCCCCACAGCCUUUGUCAGGACACCUCAGGACAGUGGCCUGGCCUCUAGGCCAGUGGGCCAGCUCGGGGUGCUAAAGCCUAAUUUGCCUGGAGCCCCGGGCCACUCAUAGAUUCAGGAGGAAGAGGUGGGGUAGAGGUGGCAGAGGGAGAGCAGAGCCUGGCACACAGCAUUUGGCACCAUAACUGAGGCAGCUGCUUUCCUUAAGGAGCUGCCACUGACAGGAUCAGCACUUACAGAGCCCCUGCUGUAUGCCAGGAAGUACAUUUAUUAUUGCUUCUUGUCACAUUGGCCCUGCCAGGUAUGUACCCCAAACAUUAGCCUCAUUUCACAGAUAAGAAAAUUGAGGCUUCCGUGAUUAAGCAGAGGCUGUGAUGUCCCAUCCAGAGCCCCAGCCACCCAGCUCUCCUGCAGGACAGGAGAUACCUACUAGCCUGCUUCUCGAUUAUUCUUUUCUUCCCUGCCACCUUGGGAAUAUCCCUCCCACUUGCAAGCACAGGUCGGCUAUGCCAGGGGAGUCUGUGCCCCAGGGCCCCUUCAUCCAUGGGGAUGGGAGUCUGUAGAAAUGCUCACCUCCGCCCUCUCCAGUGGGGACAUUGGAGGCCUGUGUCCCACAGUCUCCCUGAGGGCCCAGUGGGUUGAGCCCAUUGCCCGCAGUGGAAACCCCUCAUUCAUGGACCUGUCUCCCUCCCCUGCCUCCCCCUCCACCUCCACCCCUGCCCUGCCCUUCCUCGGAUCACUUCAUGCACCCAAGUCCUCAUUGCAGUCUGCUUGAGGGGGAUCCCACAUGUAGCCAUGCCCCUUCCAGGCAGAGAGAAGCAGCACAGGCCCCUGGCUGAGUGUGCCACGGCGGGUGCAGCAGGAGUGCAAACGCAGAGUUCAACUCGGCAUCCAGCUGGAACCCAUGUUAACUUGCGUUUGACCAGCGUAAGAGAGACAAGAAGAUGAGUAGAACUGUAGCAGUCAAAAUGCUUCAGCUGCAGGUAAUAGGAAGUCCAGCUCAAACCGGUUUAAGCGGAGGCCAGGGGCUGCAGGGUGGGCAUCUCCCAUGGCACCUGCUCUGGUCCCUCAGUCCCCCUGAGUGGUGCACACUUCCCUCCACAAGGUGUGUUGCCGGGUGGCCACGGCUGUCCUGGGCUCGCAUUUGCUCAUGACAGUGUCUGGAGAGCUCCGCCUUUGAGGGCUCUUCCUGGGGCCUCUAACGAGAGAGGACUGGGGGGACCACGACAAAAAAUAUCUGGGUUCUUGAGACAGCAGAAAAGGUGGUGGAAGCUGGGUGAGUAGCCAGACAGUAUCUACUAGAAUUUUUUUUUCUCCAAUUUAAGUUUCUCCCUGGUGAGUUCUUAACCCGCCGCUGACUGGCCAAUGCUAGCAGACGGACACAGGGAACAAACAAGUGGCAUAUUAAUCUUCAUGGAAAAGCCUAGAAACGGGCAGUCCUUUCACAGCAGUUCUGUGUCUACAGUGAACACAUGGGCUGUGUUUAACUGUGUAAACACAAUAAAGUUGUGUUAUGGAAGUGAACUUGUUCCUGACUGGCAGAUGGAUUUAAAUGUAAGAGUGGUCCAUGGGCCCCUCCACGGAGCUGAUGCUGCCCCAGCAUCCUUCCUAUGGCCCUUCAGCCUCUGGCUAUUGGUCUUCCUGUAUCCAUGCACGGCUGAGCUGGAGGCCAACACAGGAGCAGCCAUUCCAGGCAGGUCUGGGCAGGGGUCCCUGGCGUGUAGCUCUGGAGGGAGUGGGGCUGUGUAAGCUCAGCGUCUUGUCUCCCUCACUGAAAAUACAGGACACAAUGGAACAGAAUAGAGAGCCCAGAAAUAAGGCUGAACACCUACAACCAUCUGAUCUUCAACAAAGCUGACAAAAACAAGCAAUGGGGAAAGGACUUCCUUUCAAUAAAUGGUGCUGGGAUAGCUGGCUAGCCAUAUGCAGAAAAUUGAAACUGGACCCCUACCUUACACCAUAUACAAAAAUCAACUCUAGAUGAAGUAAAGACUUAAAGGGAAAAUCUAAAACUAUAAACACCCUGGAAGACACCUUAGUAAAUACCAUUCUGGACAUAGAACUUGGAAAUAUUUCAUGAUAAAGAUGCCAAAGCAAUUGCAACAAAAACAAAAAUUGACAAAUGGAAUCUAAUAAAACUAAAGCACUUCUGCACAGCAAAUCAACAGAAUAAACAGACAACCUAAGAGUAGGAGAAGAUAUUUGCAAACUAUGCAUCUGACAAAGAUCUAAUAUCCAGCAUCUAUAAGGAACUUAAACAAAUGUACAAGCAAAAAACAACCCCAUUCAGAAGUGGGCAAAAGACAUAAACAGACACUUCUCAAAAGAAGACAUACAUGCGGCCAAAAAGCAUAUGAAAAAAUGCUGAAUAUCACUAAGCAUUAGAGAAAUGCAAAUCAAAACCACAAUGAGAUACCAUUGCACACCAAUCAAAAUGCCUAUUUUUUUUUUUU